Molecule: non-coding RNA, 273 nt
Organism: Cinara cedri
Lineage: Eukaryota; Metazoa; Arthropoda; Insecta; Hemiptera; Aphididae
Source: the annotation of a GenBank genome assembly
CGGAGCGGAAACACGGUCGUUAAGGGAAAUGGAGGAAAGUAAAAAUAAUUGUUUUGGAAAAGAAAAUCCGAUGGAAGUUUUGGGCCAGUGAAAGAAAUGCAAACUGCGGUGAACGGAGAAUUAGAGCUAGAUCACGCUCUUCCAGGAACAUAAUAACGUGUUUGAUACAUUCAACGUGAGUACCCAGAAGAUUAAAGCGAACUGAAUGCGUUUAGAGAACUCAGAGUUCUGCGUAUUUCCGCGUGUUAAUGGGAAAAAAGAAGCCGCCAUACC